This 77-nucleotide transfer RNA is filed under the name bacterium. RNAcentral describes it as "tRNA-Pro". It matches the Rfam family "tRNA". From Rfam's summary of the family: Transfer RNA (tRNA) molecules are approximately 80 nucleotides in length. Their secondary structure includes four short double-helical elements and three loops (D, anti-codon, and T loops). The record is from RNAcentral.
CGGAGUAUAGGCUAGUCUGGUAAGUCGCUACGUUUGGGACGUAGAAAUCGUAGGUUCAAAUCCUACUACUCCGACCA